CUGGUCCCUCUCCCCUCCCUGGAGGUCGGGGGUCGGGCUGAAAGUUCCAACCCUCUAAUCACAUAGGCUUCCUCUGGCAAUGAGCUCCCAUCCUGAAGCUCUCAAGGGACCCCCCCACCACCACCACAAGGGUCACUUCAUUAGCAUAAACUCAAGUAUGGUUGAAAGGGGCUUAUUAUAAAUAACAAAGAUGCUCCUGUCAUCCCUGUCACUCAGGAAAUUCCAAGGGUUUUAGAAGAUCUGGUACCAGGAACGAGGGAUGAAGACAAAAUACAUAUUUCUUAUUAUAUCACAGGAUCACACAGGUGCUGCCAUUAAAUCACAUGUCCCCCAGUUCUGUACUUGGAAAGUUGAUUUGGGACAAAAACACAGCCUUUGAGACCUUGAGUCUGUUGUUUGUUUCCUUCUAUGGGUUAGAAGGUAACUGGUUGCCUGAUGACUUGGCAAUCUCACCAUCAAGGUCCAUUCAAGUCACUGGCAAAAAUGUUAAGCAGCUAAUUAUAGCUCGUGCGUAUCAGCUCUGUGCCAUCCUUCAAGGCAAGAAAAUCAGUGUUCACAGAGUUUUCCUAAUUGGCCAAUAAGCGACGGACCUGAGCUUCACACCCAUGUCUGUCAGCUCCAAAACCAGGGAGAAAUAAUGGAUUCUCUGACGAUUCACAGCCCCGAGUCACUUGGAGCAGAAGUUGUAGCUUCAACUGUUGCUGAAGACCUCGACAAAGGGGGGCGAAGAAGCCUAUGGAGCUAGCACCAGGCUGCAAAAGGCCAAGUCUCAGAUGCUGUGCGGGCUGACUAACAGAGCAGUACAGCUACAGACUGGAGUCACUGAGGGUUGAGGCGGAGGGUUAAGGCAUCAGAUUUCCAGUGAGACAAAGGCCUGGGUUUUGUUCAGCAUCCUGAGCACGGGUAUCAACACACUGACACACCCCACGUGCACAUGUCGGCAUCUCACCGUGGCGCCCUCUUUCCGAUUCAGAGGUCACAGGAAAGACACCCGUGCUUUCUCACGGUGCCCCCUCACCCCAUCUCGCUGCCUUGCUCCAAUAGGAAUGGCUCUUAGGGUCGGAAAUUAACGACAUAAAAGGUCUGACGUGCCCAGAGAAAAGACAAACACUGUGGGGAAAUGUAAGUUAUAUAACAUAAAUUUAGAUGUCGCUUUUACUGAAGUUUUUUUUCUCACCCAGAUUUGGUAGUUUAAGAUCCUAAUUUUAUAACCACGGUUGCUGGGAGAACCUCGACUGAUUCCGAUCACUUUAAACAGCCUUUUAUAGUCACAGCCUCCAGAGUAUAUUUCCUCUUCUUUUUCAACAUAUCACAUUUCUUGGCAGAAAUAUCUAGCAGAAAGCACCAAAAUUUUUAUAAUGAGGAUAAAAUCAAAAUUUCACACAUCAGAUUUCUCUUGUAGAUUAUUUCUUCCUGUUGAAUCUUUCCCUCUUCUAGCUUUAUUUUAGUGACUAAGAAUUGAAAAUUUGAUUUCAGCGUCGUUCAUUCAUCUUAUAGGAUUUUGUGGCCAAAGGGCAUUUGCUGUCUGCCUUGACUUUAAAGUGUCUGCAUUCAAAGACUUGGCCGGUGCCGCCCCUCAGGAGCUGGGGUGCCUUCAGACAGACAUCACCUCCCACUUGAAUUCCGAGGGCGAACUCCAGAAUGGCCUUCCCACUCUCCCUGUCUCAGCUUAACUUGGCUUCUCUCUACGAUUUUCCAUUUUAAAAUGUGUGCUGUGCUCUUGAUUCCAAUGUAAAGGUUGUUUGUGAGUGCCUUUAGGAGUAAAGAUCAAGUUCAAAACCGAAAUACCACAAGACGCCCAGCGGGAGCCACGUGGAGAAUCUUUCACUUACCUACCAAACCAGGCCAGGAGGCCCAAGAGGCCUUUGCCACUUCCAGCUGAGUCACCACCGGCCCCACACCUUCUGCUUUUUCCCCUGAAAAUGCUUUCCCGUCUCUGCUCAGUGACUAACUCCAUCACCAAUGUGACCCAGUUUGUUUGGCAAGAUGUGAUUUUUUUUAACUCACGCUGCUUUCACUGGUCACGACUCUCACAGGCAUUUAGCGGCUCCCUCUCGGCGUCCGUCUGGCCCUGCUGCCGUGCUGGAUUGAUGGCUCUCUCCCCAGCUGUUCCUUUCCAGCCUGCUCUCCUCUCCCUGGCAAAUCCAUAUUCCAUUUGCU
Long non-coding RNA from Equus asinus (donkey), 2160 nucleotides. NCBI's taxonomy places the organism in Eukaryota, Metazoa, Chordata, Mammalia, Perissodactyla, Equidae. The record is from Ensembl.